GAACGGGUGAGUAACGCGUGAGGAACCUGCCUCAAAGAGGGGGACAACAGUUGGAAACGACUGCUAAUACCGCAUAAGCCCACAGCUCGGCAUCGAGCAGAGGGAAAAGGAGCAAUCCGCUUUGAGAUGGCCUCGCGUCCGAUUAGCUAGUUGGUGAGGUAACGGCCCACCAAGGCGACGAUCGGUAGCCGGACUGAGAGGUUGAACGGCCACAUUGGGACUGAGACACGGCCCAGACUCCUACGGGAGGCAGCAGUGGGGAAUAUUGCACAAUGGGGGAAACCCUGAUGCAGCGACGCCGCGUGGAGGAAGAAGGUCUUCGGAUUGUAAACUCCUGUUGUUGAGGAAGAUAAUGACGGUACUCAACAAGGAAGUGACGGCUAACUACGUGCCAGCAGCCGCGGUAAAACGUAGGUCACAAGCGUUGUCCGGAAUUACUGGGUGUAAAGGGAGCGCAGGCGGGAGAACAAGUUGGAAGUGAAAUCCAUGGGCUCAACCCAUGAACUGCUUUCAAAACUGUUUUUCUUGAGUAGUGCAGAGGUAGGCGGAAUUCCCGGUGUAGCGGUGGAAUGCGUAGAUAUCGGGAGGAACACCAGUGGCGAAGGCGGCCUACUGGGCACCAACUGACGCUGAGGCUCGAAAGUGUGGGUAGCAAACAGGAUUAGAUACCCUGGUAGUCCACACCGUAAACGAUGAUUACUAGGUGUUGGAGGAUUGACCCCUUCAGUGCCGCAGUUAACACAAUAAGUAAUCCACCUGGGGAGUACGACCGCAAGGUUGAAACUCAAAGGAAUUGACGGGGGCCCGCACAAGCAGUGGAGUAUGUGGUUUAAUUCGACGCAACGCGAAGAACCUUACCAAGUCUUGACAU
RNAcentral lists this ribosomal RNA (871 nucleotides) under uncultured bacterium. Its description in RNAcentral is "bacterial SSU rRNA". It matches the Rfam family "Bacterial small subunit ribosomal RNA", at positions 100 to 987 of the family's 1533-position model. The record is from RNAcentral.